Molecule: small nucleolar RNA, 103 nt
Filed under: Triticum aestivum (bread wheat)
Lineage: Eukaryota; Viridiplantae; Streptophyta; Magnoliopsida; Poales; Poaceae
Also listed under: 1 other name
Description: snoRNA snoR1
Rfam family: Small nucleolar RNA snoR1
About the family: snoR1 is a member of the C/D class of snoRNA which contain the C (UGAUGA) and D (CUGA) box motifs. Most of the members of the box C/D family function in directing site-specific 2'-O-methylation of substrate RNAs.
Source: Rfam by way of RNAcentral
GGCCAUGAUGAGCAUUGCUUACUUCAGGUGACACCUCUUGUAUGAGAAGAAACCUGCUUUGUUGUCCCUUCCACGAGCAGAUUAGCAACCCUCUGAGGGAGCU